UUGGAGGGCAAGUCUGGUGCCAGCAGCCGCGGUAAUUCCAGCUCCAAUAGCGUAUAUUAAAGUUGUUGCAGUUAAAAAGCUCGUAGUUGAAUUUCGGAAUUCAUCCCUUGGUCGGGCUUAACUGUCCGCAUUGGUGUGAUGGAUUCCUACCUUCUGAAUAACCGGCAUGCCAUUUAUUUGGUGUUUUGGGAAACCAGGACUGUUACCUUGAAAAAAUUAGAGUGUUUAAAGCAGGCUUAUGUCUGAAUAUAUUAGCAUGGAAUAAUGAAAUAGGACGGCAUGGUUCUAUUUUGUUGGUUUCUAGGAUCACCGUAAUGAUUAAUAGGGAUAGUUGGGGGCAUUAGUAUUCAAUUGUCAGAGGUGAAAUUCUUGGAUUUAUUGAAGACUAACUUCUGCGAAAGCAUUUGCCAAGGAUGUUUUCAUUAAUCAAGAACGAAAGUUAGGGGAUCGAAGACGAUCAGAUACCGUCGUAGUCUUAACCAUAAACUAUGCCGACUAGGGAUCGGACGAAGUUAAUUUUAUAAUGACGCGUUCGGCGCCUUACGGGAAAC
This 551-nucleotide ribosomal RNA is filed under the name uncultured Acaulosporaceae. RNAcentral describes it as "SSU rRNA". It matches the Rfam family "Eukaryotic small subunit ribosomal RNA", at positions 548 to 1098 of the family's 1831-position model. Lineage: Eukaryota; Fungi; Glomeromycota; Glomeromycetes; Diversisporales; Acaulosporaceae. The record is from RNAcentral.